AGAUACAGAUGCAAGAGGUUGGUGGUUUUCCAGGAGUGAAGACAAUUAUUACAAUCCUCUAGAUUAUACAGACAGUUCCAAAGGCUUUGAAGACUCAUUACAGUGUAUAAUACAGACAUUUAAAGAGCAGGUAUAAUCAACAUUCAAGAUAAAAUUACAUUGUAGUAUCACUAUAGUUGAAGAAUAUCACAAAUAUAAUGCCUACCCAUGUUAAAAUGAGCAUAGAGCAUGACAUGAAGGAAUUAUUUCUUAAAUAUACUAUAAGAAGAAAGUUUAAAUGGAAAUCAACAGUAUCUGAGCUCAAAGACCAUUCCAGCUUGUGAUUAAAUUUCAUUAGAUUUAAGCUGUUUGUUGGUUCAGUUAUCCUGUUUAUAUGUUAUAAAAACUUUAAAUUUAAGUAGGUUUGAUCUUUAUCAAUAUCAGUUUGGUUUGGUUACCAUGGUUACAUAUUUCAGAACAAUAUUGUUAUCAGUGAUACUUCACUAUUGAAGUACUUUUAUAUAAUAAUUCAGAGUUUACAUGUUAAAAUAUGAGUUGUCCUCUUUUGGUUCUUUCUGCCUGCAGGCUAAUAGUUGAAUUUACAUUUUUGUUAAUUCAUAUGACAUGAAUUGUUUACAUUUAUUCUACUCCUGCUUAAUGAAGAUAUAUAUGACAAAGUCAAAAUUAAAAAUGAUCAGACAAGACAUACAAAUAUGUGAUUUUAUGUUUUUAUUUCGUUUCCUUUAUUUAAAAAAAAAGGUAUAAUGUUUGACGUAUGUGCUCUGACCUGUCCAGCUUGUCAAUUAUUAAGACUAUUACCGUUAAAAUCGUUAAAUAAGCCGCAGGUUUUUUUCUCUGUCUUUGUCCUGCGUGUUAUACUCAGGUGCGCUUUAUGUAUAUAUUUUUUUCUGUUUUCAGGACGAGCGUGAAAAAAAAGUUGAUCAAUAAAAAUUCAGCCUUUAAUUUCAUAUUUUGUACAAUAGGUUUCAACUUUUUACAGGGACCAUUUGAUGGAAUAUUAGCUUUUAGUCAGGGAGCUGCAUUUCUGUCACUUUUAUGUAGCAUACAGCAAAAAGGAACAGGUAAUUGAAUACCAAAGAAAGAUUAAUUAAAUGACCAUGAUUGUACCAGCAUUUUCUACCUCCUGAACUAUUGCUGACAUCCAUGGCUCUCAUCAUAUGGAGAGUUUACAUUUUUUUCACAGUCCAAUAUAUCAAGUUGGGAAAAAAAUGUAUACAGAAUAUUAGCUAGUAAAUUAAUAACUGUUGUAUACUUACAUGAUCUAUCAGAUUUAAAAAGAUGUUGGUAUUUUUAAUCAAUGCAACUAAAAUCAAACUAAUCAAUUACAAUACUUUCAGCUGAAAUAUAUGUCUCUUUUUAGGUAAUGAAAAUCACUUUACUAUUGCAGAUUCUCCUAUCAAAUUUAACUUUGCCAUAUUUGUGUCUGGUUUUAAGAGUCGACAAAAAGAGCAUGCCAAGUUUUAUGACAUUACUAUAGAAAUUCCUACCUUGCAUGUAUUUGGUGAAACGGAUAAAGUGAUUGCAAAAGGUAAAAAUAUAAAUAUUAGUUUAAAUGAUGAAUCACAUCACAUCCGGAUGCAUACGAAAAAAGUGCAGAAAAAGUAUUCCCUUGAAUUGACAGUUGUAGGAAAUUAAUCGUAUAUAUCAUUGCAGUAAAAAAAUUCUUGGCAAUAAACUUAUAUCUUGGAUAUUUCAAAGCACCAUUAUUUGUUUAUUUGGGGUUUCUAUAGAAUAUUUUGGAAACUUGAGGUUACAUGGCUACCAAAGCUUGCACACAGUUAAAAAGAGGUAAAAUUUGAUUGGUAGACUUCCAGUGAUGAUUAUUUUCUUAUAUUCUAUGAAAUGUUAUGUGAAAUUUUGUGUAUAGUACUGGACAGAAUAAAGCUUUACUCAUGCCAAGUAUUACCUUAUUUAAAACAAAGAUAAAUCCUGCCAAAUUUUUUGAAAAGUGCAAAUUUAACCAAUUUAAUAUGUACAUUACAUUAAGUAUAUUCAGAUAUAUAAUGAAUGUUUUGUAUAUCCAUAAAAGUGAUCAAUUUGAACCUCAGUUUGAUCAUACUACUAAUUUAUUUUAUUUUAAAUUCUGCUAUAGUCUACAUUUUUACAUAUUCAUAGACAAUGUAAAAUUUGGAGGUGCAAGAGCUUUAUUUACAUAUUGAGUUCAAAUCAAUCCUGGAUAUUUCAGAGAUGAGUGAAGAUUUACUACAGUGCUAUAAAGAACCAAUGGUACUACAGCAUACAGGUGGACAUUUUAUACCAGCUGCAUCAGCUCAGAAAAAAAAAUAUCUGGAGUUUUUAGACUUGAUGAUUGCAAGGAAAAAAUAAAAAUUGA
This 2332-nucleotide long non-coding RNA is filed under the name Mytilus galloprovincialis (Mediterranean mussel). Lineage: Eukaryota; Metazoa; Mollusca; Bivalvia; Mytilida; Mytilidae. The record is from RNAcentral.